This 23-nucleotide microRNA is filed under the name Homo sapiens (human). RNAcentral's name for it is "hsa-miR-6756-5p". Lineage: Eukaryota; Metazoa; Chordata; Mammalia; Primates; Hominidae. The record is from miRBase by way of RNAcentral.
AGGGUGGGGCUGGAGGUGGGGCU